GAUGAAGAACGCAGCGAAAUGCGAUAAGUAAUGUGAAUUGCAGAAUUCAGUGAAUCAUCGAAUCUUUGAACGCACAUUGCGCCCGCUGGUAUUCCGGCGGGCAUGCCUGUUCGAGCGUCAUUUCAACCCUCAAGCUCUCCGGAGUUUGGUGUUGGGGCGCCUGGGGCUUUUCGACCUCAGGGCCCUCAAGUCCAUCGGCGGGACCGCCAGGACACUGAGCGCAGUAGUAUUAUUUCGCUCGGUAGGAUCUUCCACGGCGGGUCGAUCUGGCCGCUAAACCCCCCAAUUCUCACCAAAGGUUGACCUCGGAUCAGGUAGGAAUACCCGCUGAACUUAAGCAUAUCAAUAGCGGAGGA
RNAcentral lists this unclassified non-coding RNA (356 nucleotides) under soil metagenome. RNAcentral's name for it is "partial contains 5.8S ribosomal RNA, internal transcribed spacer 2, and large subunit ribosomal RNA". The stretch from base 1 to 120 matches the Rfam family "5.8S ribosomal RNA", at positions 35 to 154 of the family's 154-position model. The record is from RNAcentral.